CAUUAAGAAACUGACCCACAGCUAGCAAGCAGGGAACUGAGCUCGUGUCCAGGAAGUCUGGCUCCGGUGGUAACUGCUUCUAAUAGAUUCAGCACCUGGUUUUCCUCUUAAACUUAGCACAUUGAAUCCAAUCUUUCUUUUUUCAUGAAAACAUAAAGUUUCCCUUUUCUCCCUGAAGGACUUAUUUUCAUAAUGUGAUGAGAUUUAUUUUCCAUGCAAGGUAUUCAGGUUAACAUGGUUUUAUUUUAAUGGCUUCUUGUUUUUGUUCCACUAUUUUUAUACUGACUGUUCAUUUACAGAUGUGGUAUGGAUUUUGCACUUGGAAU
Molecule: long non-coding RNA, 326 nt
Filed under: Marmota monax (woodchuck)
Lineage: Eukaryota; Metazoa; Chordata; Mammalia; Rodentia; Sciuridae
Source: RNAcentral